UGAGGUAACGGCCCACCAAGGCUACGAUGGGUAGUUGAUCUGAGAGGAUGGUCAGCCACACUGGGAGUGAGACACGGGCCCAGACUCUUACGGGAGGCAGCAGUUAAGAAUCUUGCACAAUGGGCGAAAGCGUGAUGCAGCGACGCCGCGUGAGCGAUGAAGGCCUUCGGGUUGUAAAGCUCUUUUCUGGGAGAAGAAACCGGUGCUUUGUCACCGACUGACUGUACCUCAGGAAUAAGCGUCGGCCAAUUACGGUGCCAGCAGCCGCGGUAAGACGUAAGAGGCAAGCGUUGUCCGGAAUCACUGGGCGUAAAGCGCGUGUAGGCGGCUUGGUAAGUCGGAUGUGAAAUCCUCGGGCUCAACCCGGGAACUGCGUCCGAAACUGCCUCGCUUGAGAGCAGAAGAGGAGAGUGGAAUUCCGGGUGUAGCGGUGAAAUGCGUAGAUAUCCGGAGGAACACCAGUGGUGAAGACGGCUCUCUGGUCUGUUUCUGACGCUGAGACGCGAAAGCGUGGGGAGCGAACGGGAUUAGAUACCCCGGUAGUCCACGCUUGUAAACGAUGGGUACUAGGUGUCGGGGGAUCGACCCCCUCGGUGCCGGAGCUAACGUGUUAAGUACCCCGCUGGGGAGUACGC
This 635-nucleotide ribosomal RNA is filed under the name uncultured bacterium. RNAcentral describes it as "bacterial SSU rRNA". It matches the Rfam family "Bacterial small subunit ribosomal RNA", at positions 253 to 885 of the family's 1533-position model. The record is from RNAcentral.